This 291-nucleotide ribosomal RNA is filed under the name uncultured bacterium. Its description in RNAcentral is "partial 16S ribosomal RNA". It matches the Rfam family "Bacterial small subunit ribosomal RNA", at positions 505 to 796 of the family's 1533-position model. The record is from RNAcentral.
GUGCCAGCAGCCGCGGUAAUACGUAGGGGGCUAGCGUUAUCCGGAAUUACUGGGCGUAAAGGGUGCGUAGGUGGUUUCUUAAGUCAGAGGUGAAAGGCUACGGCUCAACCGUAGUAAGCCUUUGAAACUGAGAAACUUGAGUGCAGGAGAGGAGAGUAGAAUUCCUAGUGUAGCGGUGAAAUGCGUAGAUAUUAGGAGGAAUACCAGUUGCGAAGGCGGCUCUCUGGACUGUAACUGACACUGAGGCACGAAAGCGUGGGGAGCAAACAGGAUUAGAAACCCGGGUAGUCC